Molecule: RNA transcript, 2744 nt
Organism: Hippocampus comes (tiger tail seahorse)
Lineage: Eukaryota; Metazoa; Chordata; Actinopteri; Syngnathiformes; Syngnathidae
Gene: bicdl1
Gene name: BICD family like cargo adaptor 1
Exons: 12
Source: RefSeq, a predicted model, not a curated record
AAUCCCGGUCAGAGCAAAUGGUAAUGCUUGCCUUAGGUAAAACACACAUAUACCCUGGUCCCUUAACCUGGAUAAAAAUGGGUGGCCGUGGAAACUGUACCAAAGAAAUGUGGUGUGUGGGUACCUUGCAGUGGUAACCUCUGACUGGGAAAAGCUGAAAGGCACUUCUUCCAUUUGUUGCAAACACACACACACAUUCGUAUGGAUGCCAUUAAAAAAAAUACUGUUUCCUAUUUCCCACGCUGUUAUGGCGGACGACAGCUUCCCCCAUGCGCUCCUCGUGCUCAUAAUUGGAGGUCAUACACAGCUGUGUGAGAAGCACCAAAAUAUGGCGCUAUCAUAUUCAGCCAAUGAGGUGGCAACUUGUAACAGGUUGCAUCUGACGUCACUGACGCGGCGAGAGCGCGCAUUCAAUAGGGGCACGAGAAAAGAUAGAGCGGGCGGCGAGGUCUUUUCGCUAUGUCUCUAGUGUAACCGGCUAACAGUAAAAUGGGGGAACCGGAGUCCAGCAACGGGAUGGGCGCACAGCGACAGACUGCAGUGAAGAACUCAUCGAUGUGGAUUAACACUAUGAUAAAACAUUUGUUCUUCCGCACGUUUGAGACCAGCCAGUGAGUGAGCAGUCCAGGAGGGAGGCGUUGUUCGCUGUGAUUCAGACUCAAGCAGAGCUGGCUCCAACUUACCGACGAGGAAGGGGCUUCAACAAGGAUGGAUGAAUUUUCCAUUACAGGCCACUACGGUCAGACCAACCCGGUCCGAGUAGGGUGGGUUCGUUCGGCUUAAAAAAAAUAACGAAAAAAAAAAAAGCAGUCGGUUCCUAUCUGGCGGCUCGUCCUUCGUCCUGCCGGCCGUGGAGUUGAGCCAUGUCUACGUUCUGCCUCGACCUGAGCACGUCUGGUGUGGCUUCAGCACCGUUGGAGCUGGACAGCGACUACAUGGAGCCGUGCCGCAAACCCGCAGCUCACGAGCCCGGAGGCUGCCCGGCUAACCCGCUGCGCCACGCCGGCUCCGGCUCCGGAGGCCUCGGCGUGGCGUUGGAGGAGGAACUGGCCAUGCUCAGCGACGAGCAGGAUAAAGCGGAAGAGCUGUCGGUGGACCGUAAUGCCGACUUGAUGUCUCUCAUCCGUCAGAAGGAAAAGGAUUUGGUGUUAGCUGCCAAACUGGGCAAAGCUUUACUAGAACGAAACCAAGAUUUGACGAAGCAAUAUGAGAAAAUGCACAAAGACCUCAACGACAAAUUAGAGCACUUGGAGCAAGAGAAGCAUGACUUGCGUUGGCGUCUGGAAAAUCGAGAGGGGGAGUGGGAGGGCCGCGUGGCCGAGCUGGAGACUGACAUCCAGCAGCUACAGGGAGAACUGGAGCAACACCAGGUCCAGCUGAGAGAGGCUGACAGGGACAAAACUAAGGCCAUCAGUGAGCUAUCCGAACAAAACCACCGACUUCUCGAACAGCUUCGAAGGGCUGCAGAGGUGGAGAGGCAGCUAUCCACUCAGGUCCAUUCAUUACGGGACGACUUCAGGGAGAAGAGUACAUCUACGAGCCAGCACAUGACACGACUAGAAACACUACAAGCUGAACAAGGACUCGAAAUUAAGAUGCUGUCGGAGAGGAAGAUGGAGCUGGAGCGGCGGGUGCAUGCCAUGCUGGAGGAGAACGAAGUGCUCAAGAAUACUGUGGAAGACCUCAGAGACAGGACGCUGGUGCUGGAGACGCAGUGCCACGAGAAGGACCUGCAGUUGCGGCAGAAUCAGGUGGAGCUUCAGGAAGUUCAGAUGUCCUACAGGCACCUAACAGCUCGACUCGAGGAGCUGACGGAGGAGACCAGCCUGCAGAGCCUCACCCCCCACCAGUCCAGCCUGAUGUGUGAGAUCGAGCAAAGCAUGGAGCAAGAGGAGCAGGAGCAGGAGAGAGAGCAGCUGCGUCUUCAGCUGUGGGAAGCCUAUUGUGACGUGCGCUCGCUGUGCUCCCAUCUCCGAGGGAAUGAUGUCACAGACUCUGCGCUGUCCACGGACUCUUCCAUGGACGAGUCCUCGGAGACGUCGUCCGCCAAGGAUGUGCCCACUGGGAGCCUUCAUGCUAGCCUGCUAGAACUCCGCAGACUAACACAGAACCUGCUUGAUGGCAACGAGUCAACGGGUUCUCGACGCAGUGACGAGGAAGCUCUGGAGGAACAAGUAAAGAAGAUGGGAGAAGAGCUGAGAGAAGUCAAAGAGCUGUACGCAGCUGAGCAGGACAAGACGCACAACAGUAAAGAGGAGUUGCUACGGAUGCACAAUCAGAUGGCGCUGCUCUCAGUAGAAAUGUGUUCCCUCCAAGAGGAGUCUGAGCGGAUGAGGUCCAUGGCAGAGGUCCGAGAACCCAGCGAGCAGCUUCAAAGUGCCAUUAAAGACAGAGAUGAUGCCAUAGCCAAGAAGAAGGCAGUGGAGAUGGAGCUGGCCAAGUGUAAAAUAGACAUCAUGUCUCUAAACAGUCAGCUUCUGGAUGCCAUCCAGCAGAAGCUCAAUCUGUCACAGCAGCUGGAGGCUUGGCAGUUUGCAUCCUCAGGGCUCUUUACAGUUUGGCUCUUGUGGUUUCUGAUCUAGUGGCCUUUCUCAGCCUCCGUACCACCCUCUCUCACCCUGUGGUACAACCCCUCCCCCUACACCCCUCCUGCCUUAGAGGACGACAUGCACAGAGUGAUUGACCAGCAGUUAAUGGACAAGCACCAGGACGAGUGGCGCUCCACCCCAUCCUGCGCAUCCAGG